RNAcentral lists this long non-coding RNA (3169 nucleotides) under Malus domestica (apple). RNAcentral's name for it is "long non-coding RNA (MDOM_LNC009302)". The record is from RNAcentral. Lineage: Eukaryota; Viridiplantae; Streptophyta; Magnoliopsida; Rosales; Rosaceae.
AGUAGGUCUGGUUCAUCACACAACGGAGUGAAUCGAUUUAGUAUAUUCGGGUUAGCAACGAUGGCGUCGCUCGCUGUUCGCUUCGAAUUCAGAGAGGGUAGCAACGACAACAGUCGCUUGCUGAUCAAGGGAUAGCAACGACGAUAAUCACUCGCUAAUCAAGAAAGGCGAACCAAGAAGAGAAUGCUUUGAAUUGUAAUACAUUCUUCUCAAUAAAAGGUAUUUAAAGGUGUACAACCCUAACAUAAAUGGAAAUAGAACUAAUUACAAGUGAUUACAUGAGAAUACACGGGAUUACAUGUCAAUUAGGGAUCCUACUAAAAAUACAAAAGUCAACAAAAAAUCCCUUGCACGCUUUUACUCAACAACAAUUAUGGGCAAUUAUUUUUAUUCUUAAGUUUUAUUAAUAUUAAGGAGGGGGGAGAAUUUGAAACCAGUACAAUAAUUUAGAGGAGGGGAGAAGAUUCAAAACUAUUACAAUAAUUCAAUAUUACUCUUCCUUGUAAUAAUAAUAGAUUUUUAACUGCAAUAUAUUCGAAGCUUAAAGAAGAAAGGCCACUAUACGUACAAUCUAUACUUGCAAGUGUUGGUUCUUCAGUUGACAUAGUUGUAUAACUUAUACGACAAGAAAUAUCAAACUUCGAUCCCAUAACACAUAGAGAUUGUCACGAUGUUAGCAUUUCAAAUAUGUCAAUGACAUUUGACAAUGGGCACCAACAUACUCUGGGCAAGGGAAGCUGAGCGUAACACAAGAUUUAUAAACAAGCUUAGUUUAUUUAUUAUGGACUAGCUAGGGGAAACCAAAUUUUUUUUUUUUUAACAAACGAUGUGGUUCAAAUUCGUCUUUGGCAAUAAUUGAACUUAAGACCUCUUACUUACAAGCAGUGGCGAAGCUAUGUGAGGGUGAGGAGUGGUGGUCGUCCCUCCCCUCGCCUGAAAACACACCUAGAGUGCCAGUUUAGCUCUUCCGCUUUCGCCGAAAAUGAGAAUUCUCGAUAUGGUGAUCUCCUGCAGUAGAGUUGGUUUUUUUUUUAAUUAUUUUUUACAUAUUUUGAAACCCUAAUAACACCCUUUAUUCAUCACUUUGUCGCACUCAAAUCUCACCCUAAAAUAAGAAACCAGAUGUGUACAUCCAAGAAUGUCCAAACAACCUAGAUCAUCCACACACCCAUCCAUGCCACCCCAACGACUUUCUCUUUUGGAAUUUAACUACGGAAUCCGACCUUCUGCACUCCUACCUAAUGCAGUGGACCAAGAUUAAGACUGCUUUUGUCAACAAGUCCGCUCGCCGCUAGAUUAGAACUUGACGAGCUAUGUGAUGGUGGCUAUGGGGACAAAGGGAUUGGGAAAAAAAGGCUUCAGAUGAAAGGGGAGAAGUGGCUUUGGAAAUAACGAUCUUAUAAAAAGUUUUGGAAAUAAUGAUCUCAUAAAAAGCUUUGUUUAUGGAUAUAUUUAAUUAGAUAAACUUAAUUUUCAAUAAUUAUAACAUAAAAAUAAUUUAUUUAAACAAGGACAAUUUAUUAAUCAAGCUAGUUUUAAUUCUGAUUCUAGUGAACUAGUAAACAAUAUAUAUGGAACUAAUUUCAUUUGUAUUUUGAUUCCAGUUAGUUUAGUAAACAACUUUAACAGGAAUCUAAUUAUGUUUCAUCCUUAAUCAAAUUCCUCCUCAAUUCAAUUCCCUUCAAUCUGAUUACUGAUUCGUAAACGCGGCCCUAAAGUGUUUGGUUGCUAGAAUAGUAGAUCUGUUGCUGUUUGGUUAGAGAGUUAAGAAUGACAACUAUUGUAAUUUUAUUGGGCCACAAAGUCUAGUGAGUAAAAUUGGUACUAAAUGGUGAGUACUCAAGUAUUGUCUUUUUUUCUUUUUCUUCUUCUUCUUUUAAGAUCCCUACCGUGUUUAUCUUAAACUCUCAUAUUAUCUAUAAAUAUUGUAUUACUUUUUAAAAAAUAAUGUAAAUAUUGUUUAAUGCUUAUUUUACGAUAAAAGAAAUUCAUUUAAAUCCAUCUAGGCUCCUGCCUAGAUCUCGCCUAGGUGCCUAGCUACUAGGCUCCAGCCUACCUGACUAGCGUUUUUUUUUAGAAUAUAAUCCUAGGCAAUUUAAGCAUAUUACAUUGACUUUGAUAUUACUGCUUACAACCGCUUUGGUGAAGAGACUAUUUUCUGCUAUGAAUAUUAACUCAAAACUUUGCACUCUUCAAUAUAAAAGCAACCGCUUCGAUUGAACCUUGCACUCUUUUGAAUUUUGCCCCUCCCCACAGCAAAUUCUGGCUUCGCCACUGCUUGCAAGUGAAGAGAAAUACCACUAGACCGUAGUAUUAAGUGGCAGGGAAACAUAAUUAAUUAAAUAGAUUUUUCUUUGGGUUUGGAAGUAAAUGAAGUCUUAGUCUUGUAAUAUUCUUUGCUAGGAUAUAAUCUUUUAAAUUAGAUAUAUUUAUCAUUCAUUUUCUUUCUUUUUUACUGGGGGAUCAAAGGAUUAGAGAUAGUCUAAUAUUUUAUGUGACAUCCCACAUCGUUAAGGGGAGUGGAUCCUCUAAGCCUUAUAUGUAUAUUCCCAUCUCUACCUAGCAUGAGGCCUUUUGGGAGCUCACCGGCUUUAGAUUCUUUAGGAACUCCGAAGUUAAGUGAGUUCACGUAAGAGCAAUCUCAUGAUGGGUGACCCACGGGGAAGUUCUCGUGUGAGUUCCCAGAAACAAAACCAUGAGGGCGUGGUCGGGGCCCAAAGCAGACAAUAUCGUGCUACGGUGGAGUCAGGCUUGGGAUGUGGUGGGGGCCCAGGCCGAGAUGUGACAAUUUGGUAUCAGAGCCAAUCCCUGGCCGGAAGUGUGCCGAUGAGGACGUCAGACCCUUAAGGGGGGGUGGAUUGUGACAUGCCACAUCGCCCAGGGGAGUGGAUCCUCUAAGCCUUAUAUGUAUAUUCCCAUCUCUACCUAGCACGAGACAUUUUGGGAGCUCAUUGGCUUCGGAUUCCUUAGGAACUGCGAAGUUAAGCGAGUUCGCAUGAGAGCAAUCUCAUAAUGGGUGACCCACUGAGAAGUUCUCAUGUGAGUUCCCAGAAACAAAACUGUGAGGGUGUGGUCGGGGCCCAAAGCUAGGCUUGGCAAACGGGUCGUGUCUGUCGUGUUCGUGUAACACCUGUUAUCUUAACGGGUCGUGUCGUGUCACACCCAUUAU